This 495-nucleotide ribosomal RNA is filed under the name uncultured bacterium. RNAcentral describes it as "partial 16S ribosomal RNA". It matches the Rfam family "Bacterial small subunit ribosomal RNA", at positions 28 to 507 of the family's 1533-position model. The record is from RNAcentral.
GACGAACGCUGGCGGCGUGCCUAAUACAUGCAAGUAGAACGCUGAAGGAGGAGCUUGCUUCUCUGGAUGAGUUGCGAACGGGUGGGUAACGCGUAGGUAACCUGCCUGGUAGCGGGGGAUAACUAUUGGAAACGAUAGCUAAUACCGCAUAAGAGUAGAUGUCGCAUGACAUUUGCUUAAAAGGUGCAAUUGCAUCACUACCAGAUGGACCUGCGUUGUAUUAGCUAGUUGGUGAGGUAACGGCUCACCAAGGCAACGAUACAUAGCCGACCUGAGAGGGUGAUCGGCCACACUGGGACUGAGACACGGCCCAGACUCCUACGGGAGGCAGCAGUAGGGAAUCUUCGGCAAUGGACGGAAGUCUGACCGAGCAACGCCGCGUGAGUGAAGAAGGGUGUCGGAUCGUAAAGCUCUGUUGUAAGAGAAGAACGAGUGUGAGAGUGGAAAGUUCACACUGUGACGGUAUCUUACCAGAAAGGGACGGCUAACUACGUG